AGGUGUUGUUCGUUUGAUCAGUUG
RNAcentral lists this non-coding RNA (24 nucleotides) under Arabidopsis thaliana (thale cress). Lineage: Eukaryota; Viridiplantae; Streptophyta; Magnoliopsida; Brassicales; Brassicaceae. The record is from RNAcentral.